RNAcentral lists this ribosomal RNA (427 nucleotides) under uncultured bacterium. RNAcentral describes it as "partial 16S ribosomal RNA". It matches the Rfam family "Bacterial small subunit ribosomal RNA", at positions 355 to 774 of the family's 1533-position model. The record is from RNAcentral.
UGGGGAAUAUUGCACAAUGGGCGCAAGCCUGAUGCAGCCAUGCCGCGUGUAUGAAGAAGGCCUUCGGGUUGUAAAGUACUUUCAGCGGGGAGGAAGGUGUUGUGGUUAAUAACCUCAGCAAUUGACGUUACCCGCAGAAGAAGCACCGGCUAACUCCGUGCCAGCAGCCGCGGUAAUACGGAGGGUGCAAGCGUUAAUCGGAAUUACUGGGCGUAAAGCGCACGCAGGCGGUCUGUCAAGUCGGAUGUGAAACCCCCGGGCUCAACCUGGGAACUGCAUCCGAAACUGGCAGGCUUGAGUCUUGUAGAGGGGGGUAGAAUUCCAGGUGUAGCGGUGAAAUGCGUAGAGAUCUGGAGGAAUGCCGGUGGCGAAGGCGGCCCCCUGGACAAAGACUGACGCUCAGGUGCGAAAGCGUGGGGAGCAAACA